RNAcentral lists this ribosomal RNA (254 nucleotides) under uncultured bacterium. RNAcentral's name for it is "partial 16S ribosomal RNA". It matches the Rfam family "Bacterial small subunit ribosomal RNA", at positions 524 to 776 of the family's 1533-position model. The record is from RNAcentral.
UGCGGGGGGAGCAAGCGUUGUUCGGAUUUACUGGGCGUAAAGGGCGCGUAGGCGGUCAGCACAAGUCAGUUGUGAAAUCUCCGGGCUUAACUCGGAAAGGUCAACUGAUACUGUGCGACUAGAGUGCAGAAGGGGCAACUGGAAUUCUCGGUGUAGCGGUGAAAUGCGUAGAUAUCGAGAGGAACACCUGCGGCGAAGGCGGGUUGCUGGGCCGAUACUGACGCUGAGGAGCGAAAGCGUGGGGAGCGAACAGG